This 270-nucleotide ribosomal RNA is filed under the name uncultured archaeon. RNAcentral describes it as "partial 16S ribosomal RNA". It matches the Rfam family "Archaeal small subunit ribosomal RNA", at positions 477 to 747 of the family's 1478-position model. The record is from RNAcentral.
CAGCUCUCCGAGUGGUGUGGAUGUUUAUUGGGCCUAAAGCAUCCGUAGCUGGCUAAGUUAGUCCCUUGUUAAAUCCACCGAAUUAAUCGUUGGAUUGCGGGGGAUACUGCUUGGCUAGGGGACGAGAGAGGCAGACGGUAUUUUUGGGGUAGGGGUGAAAUCCUAUAAUCCCAGGAAGACCACCAGUGGCGAAGGCUGUCUGCUAGAACGCGCCCGACGGUGAGGGAUGAAAGCUGGGGGAGCGAACCGGAUUAGAGACCCGAGUAGUCC